Molecule: long non-coding RNA, 290 nt
Filed under: Manihot esculenta (cassava)
Lineage: Eukaryota; Viridiplantae; Streptophyta; Magnoliopsida; Malpighiales; Euphorbiaceae
Description: long non-coding RNA (MESC_LNC001217)
Source: RNAcentral
CUUGCCUCCCAAAACCUCAAAUCAAGCAUAUAUCUCAACCAAAUCAUGCAUACAAGUUCCUAGGGGCCUCAAAACAUCAAAUACCCCAACUACAACACUUCAAACAUACUCAAACAAGCCACAUUGUUCAAAACAUCAAUAUUAACCCAUAACUCAACAUAUAACCUAACAUGCAUUUCUACCCAUAGAUCUUGCAUAAAACUUAUUUAAAACACAUAAGGAGCUUAAGAUCGGCUCUUACCUCUUGAAGAUGGAGAGGGAGACGACCUAAACUUGGAGAUCCACAAAAA